GAUGAACGCUGGCGGCGUGCCUAAUACAUGCAAGUCGAGCGAACGGACGAGAAGCUUGCUUCUCUGAUGUUAGCGGCGGACGGGUGAGUAACACGUGGAUAACCUACCUAUAAGACUGGGAUAACUUCGGAAAACCGGAGCUAAUACCGGAUAAUAUUUUGAACCGCAUGGUUCAAAAGUGAAAGACGGUCUUGCUGUCACUUAUAGAUGGAUCCGCGCUGCACUAGCUAGUUGGUAAGGUAACGGCUUACCAAGGCAACGAUGCAUAGCCGACCUGAGAGGGUGAUCGGCCACACUGGAACUGAGACACGGUCCAGACUCCUACGGGAGGCAGCAGUAGGGAAUCUUCCGCAAUGGGCGAAAGCCUGACGGAGCAACGCCGCGUGAGUGAUGAAGGUCUUCGGAUCGUAAAACUCUGUUAUUAGGGAAGAACAUAUGUGUAAGUAACUGUGCACAUCUUGACGGUACCUAAUCAGAAAGCCACGGCUAACUACGUG
RNAcentral lists this ribosomal RNA (497 nucleotides) under uncultured bacterium. RNAcentral describes it as "partial 16S ribosomal RNA". It matches the Rfam family "Bacterial small subunit ribosomal RNA", at positions 28 to 507 of the family's 1533-position model. The record is from RNAcentral.